ACUGCUCAGUAACACGUGAUCAACUUACCCUUCAGUGGGGCAUAACCUCGGGAAACUGAGGCUAAUUCCCCAUAGUUGGAGUUGCCUGGAAUGGUACUCCAUCGAAAGAUACUCCGGAAUGUAGGAGAUUCACUGAAGGAUAGGAUCGCUCUCGAUUAUGGUUGUUGGCGAGGUAAUGGCUCACCAAGCCUAUGAUCGAUAGGGGCCGUGAGAGCGGUAGCCCCGAGAUGGGAACUGAGACAAUGUCCCAGGCCUUACGAGGCGCAGCAGGCGCGAAACCUUUACAAUGCACGAAAGUGUGAUAAGGUUACCNGGAGUGCCGAGAGACAAUCUUUCGGCUGUUGUGGGAGUGUAAAUAACCCCACCAGAAAGGAGAGGGCAAGGCUGGUGCCAGCCGCCGCGGUAAAACCGGCUCUUCAAGUGGUCGGGAAUAUUAUUGGGCUUAAAGUGUCCGUAGCCGGUUUGAUAAGUUCCUGGUUAAAUCUGGCAGCUUAACUGUCAGUUGGCUAGGAAUACUAUCUUACUAGAGGGUGGGAAAGGAUUGAGGUACUCCUGGGGUAGCGGUGAAAUGCUAUAAUCCUUGGGGGACCACCAGUGGCGAAGGCGUCAGUCUGGAACACGCCUGACGGUGAGGGACGAAAGCCAGGGGAGCGAACGGGAUUAGAUACCCCGGUAGUCCUGGCUGUAAACGAUGCGUGCUAGGUGUUGGUAGGGCUAGGAGCCGUGCCAGUGCCGUAGGGAAACUGUUAAGCACGCCGCCUGGGAAGUACGCUCGCAAGGGUGAAACUUAAAGGAAUUGGCGGGGGA
Molecule: ribosomal RNA, 807 nt
Filed under: uncultured archaeon
Lineage: Archaea
Description: bacterial SSU rRNA
Rfam family: Archaeal small subunit ribosomal RNA
Source: RNAcentral